AAGAAAUAAAAGCUGAAAUAAAUCAUUCUCUCUACAAUUAUUCUGACAUUUCACAUUCUUAAAAUAAAGUGGUGAUCCUAACUGACCUAAGACAUGGAAUUUUUACUAGGAUUAAAUGUACUUUGCUAAGGUGUACGUAAACCUCCGACUUCAACUAUAUCAUUGAUAUUUGAUGAAUAGUUUAAAAACAUUUGUACUGUCCCAUAGUAACUAUGUGUAAAAUGUGUCACUGUGCUUGCUCAACAGUAUAGCUUCCUUCCUCACAUGUCUGCGACUGAUCCCAGGUCCUCUGCUUCGCAAACACAAGUGACACCAUCUUAGCCAGUUGUGCCACCGAAAAGUUUUUGCAACGAAUCCAGUAUAAACCUGAAGAGGAACAUAUUAUUGAACACUGAUAAACCAUUUGAAGUGGUCACCAAGGAAGCAUUGCUCAGGUGGAACGGCACUGGACAGACGGAAGUCUCCCCAGUCCUCUGGAAGGUUGACAGCACAAGGUCACAUGACCUGGAAGAGAAAACCCAGGAGACUUUUGGGAUCCCUUUUUGA
Molecule: long non-coding RNA, 546 nt
Filed under: Salmo trutta (river trout)
Lineage: Eukaryota; Metazoa; Chordata; Actinopteri; Salmoniformes; Salmonidae
Description: lncRNA (ENSSTUG00000029165.1)
Source: RNAcentral